This 234-nucleotide ribosomal RNA is filed under the name uncultured bacterium. Its description in RNAcentral is "partial 16S ribosomal RNA". It matches the Rfam family "Bacterial small subunit ribosomal RNA", at positions 99 to 334 of the family's 1533-position model. The record is from RNAcentral.
CGAACGGGUGCGUAACACGUGAGCAACCUACCGAACUGUGGGGGAUAGCCGGCCUAACGGCCGAGUAAUACCGCAUACGCUUUCAGUGAGGCAUUUCAUUGAAAGGAAACCUACGGGACAGAUCGAGGGGCUCGCGGCCUAUCAGCUAGUUGGGGGGUAACGGCCUCCCAAGGCGACGACGGGUAGCUGGUCUGAGAGGAUGGCCAGCCACAUUGGGACUGAGAGACGGCCCAG